GACGUAGGAUGCAAGCGUUGUCCGGAUUCAUUGGGCGUAAAGAGUUCGUAGGCGGUUUGUUAAGUCUGAUGUUAAAGAUUGGGGCUCAACCCUGAAAGUGCAUUGGAUACUGGCAGACUGGAGUGCAGUAGAGGCGAGUGGAAUUCCCAGUGUAGCGGUGAAAUGCGUAGAUAUUGGGAAGAACACCGGUGGCGCAGGCGACUCGCUGGGCUGUAACUGACGCUGAGGAACGAAAGCUAGGGGAGCAAACAGG
This 253-nucleotide ribosomal RNA is filed under the name uncultured bacterium. RNAcentral's name for it is "partial 16S ribosomal RNA". It matches the Rfam family "Bacterial small subunit ribosomal RNA", at positions 524 to 776 of the family's 1533-position model. The record is from RNAcentral.